AAGCCCCUUCAUUUUGGAAAUCUCUUCUUUUAGCUUUUGCACUUAUCAGCAGUGUGGUGAGGAGAAAGGAAGUGCCAGAUUUAUCCCAUGAUCUGAAAUUCGACCACGUAUGAGCAACUGUAUAUGAGAAAGAGCUACUAAAUAAGACAUUCUGUUUCCUGGUGAGGAAGGAGAGAGUAAUGAGCAAAUCAUGCUCCUGGUGUUAUAUACCCAGUCAUUCAACAGGAUCUCCCAACUAGAGCAAAAUGGAAAAAGGUUGUCUGUUCACUCUGACUAUGCAGCCAUAAAAAGAAAGGAGAUCAUGUCCUUUGGCAGGACAUGGAAGAGCUGGAAGCCAUUAUCCUCAACAAAUUAACACAGGAACGGAAAACCAAACACCACAUGUUCUCACUUAUAAGUGGGAGUUCAACAAUGAGAACACAUGGUCACAGGGAGGGGAACAACACACAUUGGAGCCUGUCAGAGGAGGUAGGGGAGGGAGAGCAUUAGGAUAAAUAGCUAAUGAAUGUGGGCUUAAUACCUAAGUGAUGGAUUGAUAGGUGCAGCAAACCAUCAUGGCACACGUUUACCUAUGUAACAAACCUGCACACCCUGUAUAUGUAUCCAAG
This 608-nucleotide long non-coding RNA is filed under the name Homo sapiens (human). RNAcentral describes it as "HSALNT0249456". The record is from RNAcentral. Lineage: Eukaryota; Metazoa; Chordata; Mammalia; Primates; Hominidae.